RNAcentral lists this ribosomal RNA (253 nucleotides) under uncultured bacterium. RNAcentral describes it as "partial 16S ribosomal RNA". It matches the Rfam family "Bacterial small subunit ribosomal RNA", at positions 524 to 776 of the family's 1533-position model. The record is from RNAcentral.
UACGAGGGGUGCAAGCGUUAAUCGGAAUUACUGGGCGUAAAGCGUGCGCAGGCGGUUUGUUAAGUCUGCUGUGAAAUCCCCGAGCUCAACUUGGGAAUUGCAGUGGAUACUGGCAGGCUGGAGUAUGGUAGAGGAAGGUGGAAUUCCCGGUGUAGCAGUGAAAUGCGUAGAGAUCGGGAGGAACACCAGUGGCGAAGGCGGCCUUCUGGACCAAUACUGACGCUCAUGCACGAAAGCGUGGGGAGCAAACAGG